GAUGAAGAACGCAGCGAAAUGCGAUACGUAAUGUGAAUUGCAAAUUCAGUGAAUCAUCGAGUCUUUGAACGCACAUUGCGCCCCCUGGUAUUCCGGGGGGCAUGCCUGUCCGAGCGUCAUUGCUGCCCUCAAGCACGGCUUGUGUGUUGGGCCCCGUCCUCCGAUCCCGGGGGACGGGCCCGAAAGGCAGCGGCGGCACCGCGUCCGGUCCUCGAGCGUAUGGGGCUUCGUCACCCGCUCUUGUAGGCCCGGCCGGCGCUUGCCGACACAUCAAUCUUUUUUCCAGGUUGACCUCGGAUCAGGUAGGGAUACCCGCUGAACUUAAGCAUAUCAAUAAGCGGAGGA
RNAcentral lists this unclassified non-coding RNA (345 nucleotides) under soil metagenome. Its description in RNAcentral is "partial contains 5.8S ribosomal RNA, internal transcribed spacer 2, and large subunit ribosomal RNA". The stretch from base 1 to 119 matches the Rfam family "5.8S ribosomal RNA", at positions 35 to 154 of the family's 154-position model. The record is from RNAcentral.